Long non-coding RNA from Melitaea cinxia (Glanville fritillary), 480 nucleotides. RefSeq lists it as uncharacterized. The record is from RefSeq and is a predicted model, not a curated record. The transcript has 3 exons. Lineage: Eukaryota; Metazoa; Arthropoda; Insecta; Lepidoptera; Nymphalidae.
UCGACAUUAUUUUCUAUAAAUAGGUACUUUAUACUUUGCCAAUGUUAGAACAUCCUUCAAACAACCAUCAUUUGGCUUUCUGCGAGCAGAUGGAAUUUACGCACUAGCAUCGCCGCCGACGCGACGGGAGUUUGGAGCUCCCAAUUAUAUAAUAAUUGGAGCUUCCAGCAGACUGCCAGACUAUCAAACAAAACCCCAUCUAUUUUCCGGCGAAACCUUUUAGUGUGACCCCGUGGGGUCGCUUUCGCGUUCUACCACGACGCCCGGCCCCCGAGAAGCGCACGUACGCUAAAGAAGCCUGUAAGGCUGUUGCAGCAAUAUGAGUGUUACCCGGCCGGCGCGGCGGCCCCGCAACGCAGUGAGGGCCUGCGGCUUGACGCUGGUGACAUCAUCGCUUACGUGAGACAGAGGAUAACAAUAGUUUUUAAAAAUUUGCUUUUAUGUGCUUUCAUUAAUACUAAUAAAGAUGUUAUAAAUUUA